Long non-coding RNA from Lepisosteus oculatus (spotted gar), 293 nucleotides. RefSeq lists it as uncharacterized. Lineage: Eukaryota; Metazoa; Chordata; Actinopteri; Semionotiformes; Lepisosteidae. The record is from RefSeq and is a predicted model, not a curated record.
GGACCAGGCGCUCGCAGGUCCCGGACUCGCACGGUGCGGAAACCAGAUGCAGAGCCAAGCUGAACGUCAGCGCCUUGCUUUUAAGAGAAGGACGAGCUCUUCUAACAUUACCCGGCUGUAAGCACAGGACGAUAUUUGGUUGCCAUCAUUUGCUGUUUACUGCAGCCUCAAAGUGUUGAGGGAAGAGAAUCUAAUUUGCCGCAUUUCAGUUUUGGUAGGGGGAAGCACAGGGAGACCAUGCAAGCUCCACAAAGUAGAAGAAACCCGCACACUUAAAUCUCAAUGUUAAAAAG